This is a long non-coding RNA of Xenopus laevis (African clawed frog), 719 nucleotides long. RefSeq lists it as uncharacterized. The transcript is spliced from 3 exons. The record is from RefSeq and is a predicted model, not a curated record. NCBI's taxonomy places the organism in Eukaryota, Metazoa, Chordata, Amphibia, Anura, Pipidae.
CCUUUACAAUACAUCUAAACCGCUCCCAAAACAGAUGAAGAAGAUGAGUUUCAAAAGAACAUUGGCUAAGAAGCCCCCACUUUUGAUGUUGGUGGAAUAGAAUAUUCUCCAAAUACCCAAACCCAGAAGGAAAGUCUGUGCUCCAAAAAUAAAUCGGGUGUUCUGUUCUAAUGGAAGAGGAGCUGAGAGUAAGGGAUCUUUGGAAAUAGGAAUAACACAAAGACAAAUUGCAGUGACAGGCUUAUCCUGCCUUUCCUCCCACCGAAUACUCUGGGAAACCAUCCAUGGCUUGUUGCCCUUAAAGGCCUAUUUUCCGUAUAACACAGCACAUAAGAGUGACUUCUCCGAGCACAGAGGAGAAAGCGAGCAGCCCAAGGAAUAGAGUGACCGGAUAGUACAGGACAAACUCGCGGAUGAGGAGCUGGAGACCCAGGUGGCGGCUUCUCCCCAGAUGGCAGUUUUGAUAUUGAGAUCAGAAGAGGAUCUUUCAAAACAGCUUAUAAAGGACUGGCUAUGGAGACUACUGUGUAGGUGGCCUGGUGUGAACUGCAGGUAAGAGGGAUGGAUGGGAGGCCAAGGCCAAUGCAGUCAGUGCACUCGAAGCAUAUGAAGCAGUGGGGAGGAGGGGGCAUUACUCAUUCCCAUGAGAAUAGUAGGGAGAGGUAGGCCUGGUCCUGAUGCAGUGUUAUUUUAAAUGUGAGGUCCAUGGGGUUUGAGGA